Molecule: long non-coding RNA, 511 nt
Organism: Lemur catta (Ring-tailed lemur)
Lineage: Eukaryota; Metazoa; Chordata; Mammalia; Primates; Lemuridae
Exons: 3
Source: RefSeq, a predicted model, not a curated record
UUAAUUAUCUUCAUUAGCCUGGAGUAUCAGCCACCAAGAUCAAUUCCAACAGGAGCGAAAACGAAACCCAGAUGAAAUUAAUGAAAGGUGCGGACCAAAUGGCAGCUAUUUAUUUCUUUGGCCAAACACCUUUAACAGGUUUCUGCCUACAUAGGAUUGGUACCAAGAUGUCCCAGUUUCGCUCCUUCAGCGAGUCGGGGAGAACACACCCAAAGAGCAGAGGGCGGUGCAGGACUCUAAGCUCAAGAGUGAAGAUAAAUGAGAGAGACCUGGAAAGCCUUAACAUCACCACACCAAACUGACUCUGUCACCAAGACUCACCACUAACGGGAAAAAGAGCCAGGCGCUCAUUCUACGAGCAAGUUAUAAAUCCUUACGGCCGUCUGGCGGCAUAACCUGAUUACUUUCUGUACACACCAAACCUAUCGAUCCACACAGAAAACAGGACGGCUGACCCCUUUGGGGGAGGGGUGUGUGUGAGGCUGUCACUUAUGUUCAAGAAUACAUUAAA